UACGUAGGGUGCAAGCGUUGUCCGGAAUUAUUGGGCGUAAAGAGCUCGUAGGCGGUUUGUUGCGUCGGCUGUGAAAUCCCGAGGCUCAACCUCGGGUCUGCAGUCGAUACGAGCAAACUAGAGUGUUGCAGGGGAGACUGGAAUUCCUGGUGUAGCGGUGAAAUGCGUAGAUAUCUGGAGGAACACCGGUGGCGAAAGCGGCUCACUGGACCGUCUCUGACGCUGAGGUGCGAAAGCCAGGGUAGCGAACGGG
RNAcentral lists this ribosomal RNA (253 nucleotides) under uncultured bacterium. Its description in RNAcentral is "partial 16S ribosomal RNA". It matches the Rfam family "Bacterial small subunit ribosomal RNA", at positions 524 to 776 of the family's 1533-position model. The record is from RNAcentral.